CGUUUCCCUCGGAACAAGUCACAAGCAGCCCAUCUGGAGUGCUCUGGCCAGAAAGACAGCAGGACUGGAAAACAAGUAGGAUGUUACAAAAACCACCACCAGAAAUUCAUUCUUACUGUACUUCAUAAAAGUAUUGUCCGUGGCCACGAGACCAGCAGCCCAGGCAGCUGACGCACUGGGUUACAAGCGUCUCAGCAGCUGAGUGUGAACAGGUCUCUCCCGUAACUCAGCAGGCGGUGGCUACUUGAGCUCCAGUACGCCCCCCUCUGGAACAAAAAAAACGAAAGAAACUAUAGCAUUUUCCAUCAUU
This is a long non-coding RNA of Suricata suricatta (meerkat), 310 nucleotides long. RefSeq lists it as uncharacterized. The transcript has 2 exons. The record is from RefSeq and is a predicted model, not a curated record. Lineage: Eukaryota; Metazoa; Chordata; Mammalia; Carnivora; Herpestidae.